UGAAAGUUGCAGACGCCACCGAGCGCCCGAGACGCGGCCGCUCCCGCCGUGGUGCCGAACGCCGAGUGCCCCGGCCUCGCACCGGCAACAGCGCGGAGCUGCGCCUGCCCCCCGGAUUCUUCUAAGAAAAGGCAGCUGUUUGUUCUUGGGAGAGGAUCACAGAGAAGAAGGUCUGUCAGCAUCCCAUUCAUUUACGCACUGGGUCAAGCGUGACUUGUCUGUGAUGUAAAAGGCCACCUCCCGCUGGCUCUCAGGCAGUCGGUGCCUCCAGCUGAGCCAAGAUCCAGCACGGUGGUCACAGGUGAAACGCAGUUAGUGCACACAGCACUCCUCCUGAACGACUGAAGACACAAGGCAGAACCACAGACAGAUGCAGCGUCUUACCUCUUGUUGUUUGCUUGUUCAAGAAAUUUAACCCUAAGUUUAUUACUGGAAUGUCUGUGUGGUUUCAGCUUUAUAUUGUGGUCGGAGUAUUUGUUCCCACUGUGACUUCCUCACUGAUUAACAAUGCUGCACGCAGAAGGUAAAGCUGGGCAGCUUAAGUGUUCUGACCACCUCUGAGAAGUAGUUUAUGCUGAAGUUGCACAGCUUUAGCCUGAGAUGUUGGUCCCGAGACCAUUCUCAAAAAAAACAAACAGAGUAUCUCAGGUGACUUAAAAAUCCUUAAUAUGUGAACACACCACCAUUUAACUGGGUUUUACGUUAUUGAAGUGGUGCAGAGUUGUAGUUUUCAUUGCUAUGAUGAAUGACCAACAGUGCAGCAUCUCAGAGGUAAACAAUAAAUGUAAUGGCAAAUGUAGCAUCCAAACCCAGAUCAACAAACACUCGCUGCUGGGCCCCUUGGAAAUAAAACAGUCAGCUGCUUUUCACUGCAGUUCCUCAGUCCUGAAGGACGGUAUGCCUCAGACCACGCAGAGGCAAGAGCAGCAAACUCACAUGGGCUGUUUCAACUCGGAGCCUCUGUGGUCAGAGGCUGCGUCCCUUCCACAAUCACUGCACGUAUCCUGAAAUGAAGCCAAACCUUGGGCAACAGUUCCAGAACACAUCAGCCUCGGUCGCAAAGCUGCCUUCGGUAGUUCACAUCUUGUCCUGUGCUACCCUCAAACACCUGCUCUCAGUUUGGUGUUUCUGUUCGCCCACCUUCGUCUGGAUUACUGACAGCUUCUGGCAGCACGCUAUAAAUUAAAUCCCCGAGAAGAUGCAAGUGAAAAAUAAAGCUUUGAAAAGCAGCAGGGACAGAAAAGAACAGGUGUGGCAGUGCAGAAAAGGAACUCCAUCUGGUUUUACUCAUCAGAGCUAGUGUAUCAUGGAGCUAUGCCCUUCUAUUACACUAACAGUAGAGCCAGUGUGCCCGGAAACUCAUUGAUUUCCACAUAUUUUAAAACCAGCAUUGGCAAUUUUGAAGAGUUCUGUAAAUGGCAGAGUCGGUACUCAAGUAAAGAAAAUAAACGCUCAGAAUCAGACAAUGCCAUUUACCAUGAUGCUGUCAGAAAGAAGCUUAAUUUAAUUCAUGGACAGAUUGGGAAAUGUGUUGUUUUGACAUGAUCAACAGGAGAUUUUGAAAUUCUUCCUGCCUAAAGAUAAUUAACAGGAAGCAAAGCAGGAGCUGUGCAUAUACACCUGUCACAAAAAGGAGUGAGCUGGUUCACUCCUAAUCUUAAGUCUUACUCCAGUGAUUGGCAUUUCUGCUAUAUUUAAACUGCUUUUUUUUCUGCUGUUGAAAAAGGAAAUUAUGUUGGCACUAUUUUCAAAGCCAUAGAAAAUACCCAGAAUAAAGGCAGUAUAAAUGCCAGGUAUCUGAAGGAAAUGGCAGACAGUCUUUACUCUUUCAAAGUCAGAGAGUUGUCUGACUUCUUUAAGAUUAAAGAAAACGCAGCAUGGUUUUUUGUUUGCUUUUAAGGUCCCAGUUUCUCUUCCCAGGUUGGAAGCCACUCAGUAUGUCGUGAUUCAAUCGCCAGAAGAUGCUGAAACCAUCCUCUUAUGCUGGCAGCUUCCAUCUCCUCCAUCAUGAGAACAGAAUCCUCAUGUCCAUUUCAAAGUGAACCAAUUCAUUUUCUCAAGUAAUCAGCAAAGCCCAGAAAAUUCAAGUGCAAGUGCUUCAUACAGUUCAGACUGAAUCAGUGGACAAGCCAUGUAAGAAUACGAAUACGAAGCAGAAGAUAACACUGGUCCAUCAAAGUUAAAUGCCUCUCAGUUCAUUAAAGGUGAAAUGGCUGAAAAGUAUCAAUCAGCUCCCCAUCCCAGCAUCCCUGGCUCAAAAUAUUGCUUGUGUGUGGAGAGCCAAGUGCCAUCAUUUCCCAUACAGGAUUAUGCCCCAGUCAUAGAGCCUGUCACAGGUUACCGACAUCUCUUCUGCGUAAGAAACACCAUGAUGAAUCCAUUCUGAAUGAAUGGUCCAGCCUUCUGGACACUGUGACAGCAGCUCCCAGAGAACAGCGUUUUCUCUUCCAAAUGUACAUCAAUAAGGAACAAACAUAUUUUAUUCCUUCCAAUAUUUGUGAGUGAAUAACGGUCAGUAUUUUGGCAGGCUGGCACAAAACCAUCCACCAAAAUGACUGGCUACACCAAUACUGUCCCCUGCCCAGCCCCGGCCCCAUUUCCCUGAUUUACUGGUAUUUUUAAAAUUCAGACUGUGGAUCUGACAGUCCAGUAUAUUGUGCCAAACACCUGUUCCUUCUCUCCUAAAGAUGCUGACUAACAGAGAAGAAAGGGGUGUGUUAUUAAGACAUAUCCAAUAUUGGAGCUCAAUCUUACAACUCAAUGAAAAAAAUUGGAAAGUGUCUUUUUCAAAUUAAUCCUUGAUAAGAACCUACAACUAUUUGAUGUACUACCUCUCUUCUUGCAAAACACUUCAUUUUCAAUAAAGUUCUAAUACCUUUGUACACCUUGAAAUUCCCUCUACUCAGCUAAAGUGCAUCACCUAGAAGCAAUCACAUACACUGCAAGUAGAAAAAUGUCCGGUUGGAGAUGGCUUGGUGAGAAGAGUGCAACUUUGGCUAGCCAAAGCAUAUCAGAAUUUAGUUUAUUGUGUCAUUCUACCAUUUAGCAAGCAGCUAGAUCUGACAGUAUUUGGCACAUACAUAAAGAUUUAGAGUAACCACUUGAUCUUAGGAUGUAUGCUUUCCUGUGAACUCACUGGACUGGUAUCCUGACAGAUGCCAGCAUUUUAACAGUUAACAAUACACCAACACAGCAAGAGGGAUGUAGAUCAGCCUUCUAAUAGCAAAGUCCCCUGGCAAAUUCAUGAAGCAUAAUAAAAUCUAAUCCUUUUAUUUCUGAAUUUAUUAAAGCAGCUUUCAAUUCAUUACAA
This is a long non-coding RNA of Falco peregrinus (peregrine falcon), 3310 nucleotides long. RefSeq lists it as uncharacterized. The record is from RefSeq and is a predicted model, not a curated record. NCBI's taxonomy places the organism in Eukaryota, Metazoa, Chordata, Aves, Falconiformes, Falconidae. The transcript is spliced from 2 exons.